RNAcentral lists this ribosomal RNA (253 nucleotides) under uncultured bacterium. RNAcentral describes it as "partial 16S ribosomal RNA". It matches the Rfam family "Bacterial small subunit ribosomal RNA", at positions 524 to 776 of the family's 1533-position model. The record is from RNAcentral.
GACAGAGGGCGCAAACGUUGCUCGGAAUCACUGGGCGUAAAGGGCGUGUAGGCGGGUAGGAAAGUCAGAUGUGAAAUCCCUGGGCUCAACCCAGGAACUGCAUUUGAAACUCCCUUUCUUGAGUGUCGGAGAGGAAAGUGGAAUUCCUGGUGUAGAGGUGAAAUUCGUAGAUAUCAGGAGGAACACCGGUGGCGAAGGCGGCUUUCUGGACGACAACUGACGCUGAGACGCGAAAGCGUGGGGAGCAAACAGG